Molecule: long non-coding RNA, 1178 nt
Organism: Perca flavescens (yellow perch)
Lineage: Eukaryota; Metazoa; Chordata; Actinopteri; Perciformes; Percidae
Exons: 3
Source: RefSeq, a predicted model, not a curated record
UAAAGCUUCUGGGUUCGGGACACAGCCCAGAAAUAUAUUAAUUAAAGCGCACUCCUACAGACUUUUCAGCACUGGGGAAGAAGUGGCUAGAUCAAGUCAAGCUCUGUCAACGACGGAUGGAUGAAGAUUCACGACAGGAAAAAAAACAUUCUGCGGCCAGUGUGGUAUUCUGUCCAUGACUACACCAUCAACACCACCCCCUCCACUCCUGCACCCCACACCCCGUCCAAAUUCAUUUGCAUCCGCUGAUGAUAUCAGUAAAGAAUUGCUGGCACCGUAUGAGGCAGGGUGGGGGAAGAAGGCUUGUUUGGAUAAAACUGGACCGCAGAGUGGACACGGCCCUAAAGAAGCGAUCAAUGCCGCAGCACUCUCUCAUUCACCCUGAACUGGUGGUGAACUCCUCCGGAACGCCGCCAGCCUCUCCACCCUAUCCCAUCGCAGUCCGGGGUCACCAGGGGGGCGUCUCUGUGCCAAUAUGCAGAUGAGCCUGUGCCCCUCCAAUGACUCUGGUGUUAAGCUCCACCCAUCUAUAUGGUGGAGCGCCCCCACCCACCCAACAACACUCACACACAGAGAGACAUAAACCCACUCUCACACUGGCUUAAAUAGGCCUUUAACAGCUUCUGUCCACUCUUCCUUUAAUAGCCAAAGUGUGCCAAACCUAAUGGAUAUUGUCAAAGAUGAGAUGUGACGACUGAUUUAGAGGAGAAACCCCAAUGACCAGGCUUCACAAGCUAGAGAGAUAGAGAGAGAGAGAGAGAGAGAGAGAGAGAGAGAGAGAGAGAGAGAGAGAGAGAGAGAGAGAAUUACCUCAGCUAUGCCACAAAUCACAGUAAUAUCUUUAAAAGAUGUGGGGAUCGAUAAGGUGUCAUCUGGCUGUAUCUUGUGAAGUAAAGUGAACCCAUAAACAGCCAAUGAGCACUACUUUAUCCUCAAUUUAAGUCCUUUACUGAUAAAGUUUUUCAACUGCUAAGCAGAUUUUCUUUUACAAGCAACUGAUUUCAUGUAUUGUUAAAACAAGAUAUAACGGCUCCACUUUAAUCAGUUUAAUUACAACUUGUAUCUUGUAUUUAAUUGAUCAAACUUUGAAAAUAAAGUGCCUGUGUAUUUAUGUGCGCUUUCUUGCAACAACUGUGAAUCAAUUAAGUCGCAUGUGUUAAUUUUAACAAGAUCAUUGU